CAAUAGCGUAUAUUAAAGUUGUUGCUGUUAAAAAGCUCGUAGUUGAAUUUUGGGCACCGACUGUAGGUCCACCUAACGGUGAGUACUUAUGGUUGGGGCCUUCCUUUCUGGAGAUCCCAUCUGCACUUUAUUGGGUGGAUGGGGGAACCAGGACUUUUACUUUGAAGAAAUUAGAGUGUUCAAAGCAGGCUUACGCUUGAAUACAUUAGCAUGGAAUAAUGGAAUAGGACUUUGGUUUUAUUUUGUUGGUUUUCGAAACUGAAGUAAUGAUUAAUAGGGACGGUUGGGGGCAUUAGUACGUACAUGUCAGAGGUGAAAUUCUUGGAUUUUGUACAGACUACCUGAUGCGAAAGCGUUUGUCAAGGACGUUUUCAUUAA
This 378-nucleotide ribosomal RNA is filed under the name uncultured eukaryote. RNAcentral's name for it is "partial 18S ribosomal RNA". It matches the Rfam family "Eukaryotic small subunit ribosomal RNA", at positions 592 to 976 of the family's 1831-position model. The record is from RNAcentral.